This 678-nucleotide ribosomal RNA is filed under the name Triticum aestivum (bread wheat). RNAcentral's name for it is "partial small subunit ribosomal RNA". The record is from RNAcentral. Lineage: Eukaryota; Viridiplantae; Streptophyta; Magnoliopsida; Poales; Poaceae.
AUGGAAGGCGACACGUAUAAAUGCUCACGUUGCAUCAGCACUGUUCCUAUGCCGAGAUACAAAAUAUCACUGAAUGCCAUCGAUGCAGACGCAAAAAGGCACGAAGACUCGCCAUUUGCUCGGUUCAUAUUUUGGGGCCAGCAGGGAGAAAUCCUCACAGAAAAGCAAGUACUGAUUUUAGUAGCAGAAGCCAACAGCAGGGCGGAGUAUACGCCACCCGAACUGACCGGUUUGGUUGGCAAAAAAUUUACUGUCAUUGCAACACGUACUAGAGACUCCCUCGACGGAGAGCAUAUGUUCUACCAGGUAGAAAGUACCGAACCAUUGUUCGAGCCAGCAAACCCAGAGAAUGCUCAACCACCGACCGAAGAAACACAGGGUGAAAAUGAAUCACAAGACAACACGCUUGAGGCCACACCCCCGCCUUCUCCUUCUGCUGCAAAGGAAGAAGAAAACGACUCAACAGGCAAGAGAAGGAAACGCAACGACCACCUUUCCAAUAAAAACAAAAGAGGAACAAAGAAAGACCUAUUCGGUCAGCAGCCAGCCCAUGCUGGCACCGGCAAUGCUACACGUACAAACAGUUUACAGGCUUUUACAGGUGGGUUAGUUUUUAUUGGUCAACAAGUGAGCGGGACGGCCCACCCCCCUGAAAAUCAGGGGGGAAGAGGUUUGUGA